CAGCCGCCGCGGUAAUACGUAGGUGGCAAGCGUUGUCCGGAAUUAUUGGGCGUAAAGGGCUCGCAGGCGGUUUCUUAAGUCUGAUGUGAAAGCCCCCGGCUCAACCGGGGAGGGUCAUUGGAAACUGGGAAACUUGAGUGCAGAAGAGGAGAGUGGAAUUCCACGUGUAGCGGUGAAAUGCAUAGAGAUGUGGAGGAACACCAGUGGCGAAGGCGACUCUCUGGUCUGUAACUGACGCUGAGGAGCGAAAGCGUGGGGAGCGAACAGGAUUAGAUACCCCGGUAGUCCCUGUCUCUUAUAC
This 301-nucleotide ribosomal RNA is filed under the name uncultured bacterium. RNAcentral's name for it is "partial 16S ribosomal RNA". It matches the Rfam family "Bacterial small subunit ribosomal RNA", at positions 509 to 807 of the family's 1533-position model. The record is from RNAcentral.